UACGUAUGGUGCAAGCGUUAUCCGGAUUUACUGGGCGUAAAGGGAGCGCAGGCGGCGCGCCAAGUCUGAUGUGAAACCCCGGGGCUCAACCCCGGGCAUGCAUUGGAAACUGGCGGGCUGGAGUGCCGGAGAGGUAAGCGGAAUUCCUAGUGUAGCGGUGAAAUGCGUAGAUAUUAGGAGGAACACAAGUGGCGAAGGCGGCUUACUGGACGGCAACUGACGCUGAGGCUCGAAAGCGUGGGGAGCAAACAGG
This 253-nucleotide ribosomal RNA is filed under the name uncultured bacterium. Its description in RNAcentral is "partial 16S ribosomal RNA". It matches the Rfam family "Bacterial small subunit ribosomal RNA", at positions 524 to 776 of the family's 1533-position model. The record is from RNAcentral.